GAUGAAGAACGCAGCGAAAUGCGAUAAGUAAUGUGAAUUGCAGAAUUCAGUGAAUCAUCGAAUCUUUGAACGCACAUUGCGCCCGUCAGUAUUCUGGCGGGCAUGCCUGUUCGAGCGUCAUUACGCCCCUCAAGUCCCCUGUGGACUUGGUGUUGGGGAUCGGCGAGGCUGGUUUUCCAGCACAGCCGUCCCUUAAAUUAAUUGGCGGUCUCGCCGUGGCCCUCCUCUGCGCAGUGGUAAAACACUCGCAACAGGAGCCCGGCGCGGUCCACUGCCGUAAAACCCCCCAACUUUUUAUAGUUGACCUCGAAUCAGGUAGGACUACCCGCUGAACUUAAGCAUAUCAAUAAGCGGAGGA
Molecule: unclassified non-coding RNA, 358 nt
Filed under: soil metagenome
Description: partial contains 5.8S ribosomal RNA, internal transcribed spacer 2, and large subunit ribosomal RNA
Rfam family: 5.8S ribosomal RNA (bases 1-120)
Source: RNAcentral